RNAcentral lists this ribosomal RNA (1444 nucleotides) under metagenome. RNAcentral's name for it is "bacterial SSU rRNA". It matches the Rfam family "Bacterial small subunit ribosomal RNA". The record is from RNAcentral.
AGAGUUUGAUCCUGGCUCAGGAUGAACGCUGGCGGCGUGCUUAACACAUGCAAGUCGAACGAACCUUCGGGUUAGUGGCGGACGGGUGAGUAACGCGUGAGAAUCUGCCCUCAGGAGGGGGAUAACGGCUGGAAACGGCCGCUAAUACCCCAUAUGCCGAGAGGUGAAACGAGUUUUCGCCUGAGGAUGAGCUCGCGUCUGAUUAGCUAGUUGGUGGGGUAAGAGCCUACCAAGGCAUCGAUCAGUAGCUGGUCUGAGAGGAUGAUCAGCCACACUGGGACUGAGACACGGCCCAGACUCCUACGGGAGGCAGCAGUGGGGAAUUUUCCGCAAUGGGCGAAAGCCUGACGGAGCAACGCCGCGUGAGGGAUGAAGGCCUCUGGGCUGUAAACCUCUUUUAUCAAGGAAGAAGAUCUGACGGUACUUGAUGAAUAAGCCACGGCUAAUUCCGUGCCAGCAGCCGCGGUAAUACGGGAGUGGCAAGCGUUAUCCGGAAUUAUUGGGCGUAAAGCGUCCGCAGGCGGCCUGAUAAGUCUGUUGUCAAAGCGUGGAGCUCAACUCCAUUUCGGCAAUGGAAACUGUGAGGCUUGAGUGUGGUAGGGGCAGAGGGAAUUCCCGGUGUAGCGGUGAAAUGCGUAGAUAUCGGGAAGAACACCAGUGGCGAAGGCGCUCUGCUGGGCCAUAACUGACGCUCAUGGACGAAAGCCAGGGGAGCGAAAGGGAUUAGAUACCCCUGUAGUCCUGGCCGUAAACGAUGAACACUAGGUGUCGGGGGAAUCGACCCCCUCGGUGUCGUAGCCAACGCGUUAAGUGUUCCGCCUGGGGAGUACGCACGCAAGUGUGAAACUCAAAGGAAUUGACGGGGGCCCGCACAAGCGGUGGAGUAUGUGGUUUAAUUCGAUGCAACGCGAAGAACCUUACCAGGGUUUGACAUCCUGCGAAUCCCUUGGAAACGAGGGAGUGCCUUCGGGAGCGCAGAGACAGGUGGUGCAUGGCUGUCGUCAGCUCGUGUCGUGAGAUGUUGGGUUAAGUCCCGCAACGAGCGCAACCCACGUCUUUAGUUGCCAGCAUUGAGUUGGGCACUCUAGAGAGACCGCCGGUGAUAAACCGGAGGAAGGUGUGGAUGACGUCAAGUCAUCAUGCCCCUUACAUCCUGGGCUACACACGUACUACAAUGCUACGGACAAAGGGCAGCAAACUCGCGAGAGCUAGCAAAUCCCAUAAACCGUGGCUCAGUUCAGAUCGUAGGCUGCAACUUGCCUACGUGAAGGAGGAAUCGCUAGUAAUCGCAGGUCAGCAUACUGCGGUGAAUACGUUCCCGGGCCUUGUACACACCGCCCGUCACACCAUGGAAGUUGGCCACGCCCGAAGCCGUUACUCCAACCCUUGUGGAGGAGGACGUCGAAGGUGGGGCUGAUGACUGGGGUGAAGUCGUAACAAGGUA